Molecule: Y RNA, 106 nt
Filed under: Microcebus murinus (gray mouse lemur)
Lineage: Eukaryota; Metazoa; Chordata; Mammalia; Primates; Cheirogaleidae
Description: Y RNA (ENSMICG00000047341.1)
Rfam family: Y RNA
About the family: Y RNAs are components of the Ro ribonucleoprotein particle (Ro RNP), in association with Ro60 and La proteins. The Y RNAs and Ro60 and La proteins are well conserved, but the function of the Ro RNP is not known.
Source: Rfam by way of RNAcentral
AAUUGGUCUGAGUGCAGUGGUAUUUACAACUAAUUGAUCACAACCAGUUACAGAUUGCUUUGUUCCUUCUCCACUCCUACCUACUGUUUCACUUGACCAGCCUUAA